GUAUCCAAACAGGGCCUUAUUCUAUGGCCAGCUAUACAGAAACACUUCCGUGUGAGUGUAUAUAUAUUCUUGCAUAUAUUAUGAAUAAAACAAGAAAUCUAAUUGUUUUGUAUCUUGAUGUUGUUUGUGGUAUUGAUUUUGCUAUUUCUAAUAUAGAAAUAUACAACUAUUGGGAUGUAUAAAUAUUUUCAUGAGAAUGAAAUUACAAGUGGUUUCCACAGGUGUGCCAUCAAAGGUAUAUCAAAGGAAAGUGUGUUGAUUCUUAGGCUAGUUUCAAUAGGGGUGUCAUGGGAGUUUCCCGGGUAUUUAACUUCAUGCCACAUUAACAAAACUGCUGACUUGCCAUACUAUUUAUGAGGAGAGAGGAGACGGGAGUUUCAUCCCCAUGAAACCCACUUGGCACAGUUACCAAGUCCCUUAAAAUUCAAUAAAACUUGCACUAAGCAUGUUAUGGUUUCAUGCAUGACAUAUUUGGCCAUAGGAUAAUGCAUAAAUUAAAUGAUUUAGGCUAUCUAUGAAAUUGUGCAAUGAAACUAUGCACUGAGAGUGACAAUUUCAUUUCAUUGAAAAGCUGACACGGUACUCUUGGUAAUAGUGCGAUGAAACCUGCAUUGAGAUGUAAAUGCAGUGCAAUAAACUUGACUCUAAUUACUACUACCUGGUAGUUUAGCUCUACUUAGGUCAACGUAGCUAGCAGUUAUUUCUGUUGCUGGUGGUCAAAAUACGAAAAGUAAUAUAAAUGAAGAGUCAAUUUUUCCUGCAAACACCAAUGAUCCAUGCUUUCUAAUUAUUGCUAUUAGAUUCCAAGGGGGUUGAUUUGGGUUAUCAUCAGGAAGACCUACAAUUACGAAGAUGGCAAAUGAAAGAUAACGAAAUUAUGAUGUCGUCUCUACGUUUAUCCCGUCCACAAACAUACGUACUUCAGUUUAUCCCGUCCACAAACAAAUAGAUGCAUUAUGUUAUUCCAGUUUUAUGUUGGUAUCUAAGUAACAGAAGAAACUUUGACUGUUGCACCAAUGUUCCUUGACAGUGAAGAACAGUAAGGUAUUAGCAGAUAGCUGCUCUCUUGUUUUAACUGGCGACAAGUGGCCUGACUCUAGCCCAGUUUCACAUCACAUACAGCUUGCAUAUUUUCAUUUGAAAGCAAUUUGAAGGUGACUGAAACCCAGAGAGUCCGGCUACCAGGCCUUCUCUUACCCACGCUUUGUUGUUGG
Molecule: long non-coding RNA, 1214 nt
Filed under: Setaria viridis
Lineage: Eukaryota; Viridiplantae; Streptophyta; Magnoliopsida; Poales; Poaceae
Description: long non-coding RNA (SVIR_LNC009003)
Source: RNAcentral